CAAUCCUUCCACCAUCACAAUCACCAACAAAUACCCUUUUCAAAGUCACAAAUGUAGUUUAUUCAUCAGUAACUGAAUCCAAAAAGUGAAUGUCCCACAGUCACAAUGCUGAAGAAUAGGGCUACCUACUUUUGAAAAGGGCUUUUAUGUGUUUGACAAUAAUUAAAAGUAUUCGACUUGGAGUUUAUUUCCCCCCCAAAAAAAUCAGAACGUACACUGAGAAAAUAAGUUAUGAGGUAUGUCAACAACAAAACUAUUCUGAGAGGGUGGGGUUUGUUAUGCUUGUGCCGUGGCAACUACCAAUGAGAGGAGCGUAUUUGAAAUACGUCAUGGAGCGCCACCUUCGAAAUGUCCUAUUUGACUUGAACUCAGCUGAUCGUUACUGAACUACCUGGAUCUCAAGCCUUGCCUACUUUUUACACGACUGUGGCUAAUAAGAUUUAAAGAAAAGAGAAAAUGAGCUCUGGAAAAGCACUGCAGUCGGUGUCUCCUCACUACAACCAACAGCCACCGACACCAAGCCUGGCGAAAAGAAAGACAAUUCAAGAGAAGUAAUACACUAUACCUAUGCGAGAAUGCUGAUCAUCGACUACAACUCAGCGUUCAACACCAUAGUGCCCACGAAUCUCAUCACUAAGCAAAUUACUCUGGGACUAAACACCUCCCUCUGCAACUGGAUCCUGGACUCCCUGACAGGCCGCCCCCAGCUGGUCUGCAAUAAGGAGUCCAACAGACAAUGUGAUGUCCCCAUGUACAAGACAGCUCAUGAAGAAAGCUAUCAAGGACAUACCGUCAUCUCCCAGACCCAGACGGGAAGCAAAAGAGAACACUGCAAAUAAAUGAAUUACCUUUUUAUGUACAGUGUGAUGUCUUUACGGUAUUCCUCUCUCUGCUAAGAUGGGCAGAUAAAUUAAUCAUUGACAUUUUCCUGACAUUCUACCGUCUUUUUAAUAUGUUCUUACUAACCAAGCUGCUCACACUUUAUUGAUCCAUUAUGCAAUGUGGUGUAUAUGGGGGGGGGUUAUAUUCUUCAUUUAUAUGGGGGUUAUAUUCUUCAUUAAUAUGGGGCUGUUAUAUUCUUCAUUAAUAUGGUGUAUACGGGGGGGUUAUUCGUCAUUAAUAUGGUGUAUACGGGGGGUUAUUCUUCAUUAAUAUGGUGUAUACGGGGGGUUGUUCUUCAUUAAUAUGGGGGGGGUUAUAUUCUUCAUUUAUAUGGGGGGGGUUAUAUUCUUCAUUAAUAUGGUGUAUACGGGGGGUUAUAUUCUUCAUUAAUAUGGUGUAUACGGGGGGUUAUAUUCUUCAUUAAUAUGGUGUAUACGGGGGGUUAUAUUCUUCAUUAAUAUGGUGUAUACGGGGGGGGUUGUUAUAUUCUUCAUUAAUAUGGUGUAUGCGGGGGGGGGUGUUAUAUUCUUCAUCUAAAUCGCACUGUUUGUGUUAAUCAUUGGUUUUCUUGUGAAUGUAUAAUGCUAUUUGCACUUUAGAGGACAUGUGCUGUUCAUUGUACACUGCUUUAAGUGGUGGGGGUGUUAUAAUCUCAAACAAGUGUUCUGUAUAUAUGCCCUUUGCACAGGUAGACUUCCAUGGUUUAAAAAAAGUAGACUACUUUAUAUUCUGUUUGUACAUUGGCUUUAUGUUGCUCAGUUUUCAAUAUGUAACUAGCAAAAAAGGACUUGGCUCACUGCUUUCAAUAAACAUAUUUGAAAUGGAAGAGAUCACUUGUGUGACU
Molecule: long non-coding RNA, 1726 nt
Filed under: Salmo salar (Atlantic salmon)
Lineage: Eukaryota; Metazoa; Chordata; Actinopteri; Salmoniformes; Salmonidae
Description: lncRNA (ENSSSAG00000118591.1)
Source: RNAcentral